UUAUGGUUCAUUAGACGGUACGCACAGUUACUUGGAUAACUGUGGUAAUUCUAGAGCUAAUACAUGCAAAUAGAGUCCCGACCAUUCUUUGGAAGGGAUGCUUUUAUUAGAUCAAAACCAAUCGGGCUUCACGGCCUGUUGUUCUUGGUGACUCUGAAUAACUUUGGGCUGAUCGCACGGUCACGUACCGGCGACGCAUCUUUCAAAUGUCUGCCUUAUCAACUGUCGAUGGUAGGUUCUGCGCCUACCAUGGUUGUAACGGGUAACGGGGAAUCAGGGUUCGAUUCCGGAGAGGGAGCCUGAGAGACAGCUACCACAUCCAAGGAAGGCAGCAGGCGCGCAAAUUACCCACUCCCGGCACGGGGAGGUAGUGACGAAAAAUAACGAUGCAGAACUCUUUCCGAGGCUCUGCAAUCGGAAUGAGUACAUUCUAAAUCAUUUAACGAGUAUCCAUUGGAGGGCAAGUCUGGUGCCAGCAGCCGCGGUAAUUCCAGCUCCAAUAGCGUAUAUUAAAGUUGUUGCGGUUAAAAAGCUCGUAGUUGGAUCUGUGUCCCACGCUGUCGGUUCGCUGUCCGUCAGCGCUAACUGGCAUGUAAGUGGGACGUCCUGUCGGUUGGCGUUUUGCAUUCGAAAGACUGCAAUUUCGCCAGUUCAAUCCUGUCGCGGUGCUCUUUACCGAGUGUCGAGGCAGGCCGACACGUUUACUUUGAACAAAUUUGAGUGCUUAAAGCAGGCUGUUACGCCUGAAAACUGCUUGCAUGGAAUAAUGGAAUAGGACCUCGGUUCUAUUUUGUUGGUUUUCGGAGCCCGAGGUAAUGAUUAAUAGGGACAGGCGGGGGCAUUAGUAUUGCGACGUUAGAGGUGAAAUUCUUGGAUCGUCGCAAGACUGACCUAAGCGAAAGCAUUUGCCAAGGAUGCUUCCUUUAAUCAAGAACGAAAGUUAGAGGUUCGAAGGCGAUCAGAUACCGCCCUAGUUCUAACCAUAAACGAUGCCAGCCAGCGAUCCGUCGAAGUUCCUCCGAUGACUCGACGGGCAGCUUCCGGGAAACUAAAGCUUUUAGGUUCCGGGGGAAGUAUGGUUGCAAAGCUGAAACUUAAAGGAAUUGACGGAAGGGCACCACCAGGAGUGGAGCCUGCGGCUUAAUUUGACUCAACACGGGAAACCUCACCAGGCCCAGACACCGGAAGGAUUGACAGAUUGAGAGCUCUUUCUUGAUUCGGUGGGUGGUGGUGCAUGGCCGUUCU
Molecule: ribosomal RNA, 1245 nt
Filed under: Neotrogla aurora
Lineage: Eukaryota; Metazoa; Arthropoda; Insecta; Psocodea; Prionoglarididae
Description: SSU rRNA
Rfam family: Eukaryotic small subunit ribosomal RNA
Source: RNAcentral